This 426-nucleotide ribosomal RNA is filed under the name Vibrio harveyi. Its description in RNAcentral is "bacterial SSU rRNA". It matches the Rfam family "Bacterial small subunit ribosomal RNA", at positions 258 to 676 of the family's 1533-position model. The record is from RNAcentral. Lineage: Bacteria; Pseudomonadati; Pseudomonadota; Gammaproteobacteria; Vibrionales; Vibrionaceae. RNAcentral also lists the same sequence under 8 other names.
UAAUGGCUCACCAAGGCGACGAUCCCUAGCUGGUCUGAGAGGAUGAUCAGCCACACUGGAACUGAGACACGGUCCAGACUCCUACGGGAGGCAGCAGUGGGGAAUAUUGCACAAUGGGCGCAAGCCUGAUGCAGCCAUGCCGCGUGUGUGAAGAAGGCCUUCGGGUUGUAAAGCACUUUCAGUCGUGAGGAAGGUAGUGUAGUUAAUAGCUGCAUUAUUUGACGUUAGCGACAGAAGAAGCACCGGCUAACUCCGUGCCAGCAGCCGCGGUAAUACGGAGGGUGCGAGCGUUAAUCGGAAUUACUGGGCGUAAAGCGCAUGCAGGUGGUUUGUUAAGUCAGAUGUGAAAGCCCGGGGCUCAACCUCGGAAUAGCAUUUGAAACUGGCAGACUAGAGUACUGUAGAGGGGGGUAGAAUUUCAGGUGU